RNAcentral lists this ribosomal RNA (497 nucleotides) under uncultured organism. RNAcentral's name for it is "bacterial SSU rRNA". It matches the Rfam family "Bacterial small subunit ribosomal RNA", at positions 29 to 507 of the family's 1533-position model. The record is from RNAcentral.
AGCGAACGUUAGCGGCGGGCUUAAGACAUGCAAGUCGAGCGAGAAAAGGGCUUCGGCCCUGAGUAAAGCGGCGGACGGGUGAGUAAUACGUAGGUAAUCUUCCCUUGAGCGGGGGACAACGGUCCGAAAGGACCGCUAAUACCGCAUAAGUUCCUGGGGACUCUGGUCCUUGGGAGGAAAGCUAGGUAGCAAUAUCCGGCACUCGAGGAGGGGCCUGCGUCGCAUCAGCUAGUUGGUGGGGUAACGGCCUACCAAGGCGAAGACGCGUAGCUGGUCUGAGAGGAUGAUCAGCCACACUGGGACUGAGACACGGCCCAGACUCCUACGGGAGGCAGCAGUCGGGAAUAUUGGACAAUGGGCGCAAGCCUGAUCCAGCCACGCCGCGUGAGUGAUGAAGGCCUUCGGGUCGUAAAGCUCUGUGGGGAGGGACGAACCGCUGAUGGUUAAUACCCAGCAGCAUGACGGUACCUCCUUAGCAAGCACCGGCUAACUUCGUG